Molecule: long non-coding RNA, 23164 nt
Filed under: Homo sapiens (human)
Lineage: Eukaryota; Metazoa; Chordata; Mammalia; Primates; Hominidae
Description: HSALNT0343432
Source: RNAcentral
GUCUAAUCCUCUGCGAUGGGGCCAGUCUGCAGAUCCGUCUGGGCGGGCUGCGGUAGCAUUCUCCACCUGCCAACACUCAGUUGCUGGUGAGUAACCAGCAUACGGACUCUCACUUCCUAGAUGACGCCUUGCUGUGUUGCCCAGGGUGGUCUCUAAUUCCUGGCCUUUAGCAAUUCUCCCGCCUUGGCCUCCUAAAGCACUGGGGUUACAGGCAUGAACCACUGUGCCCAGCCUGCAUGAUGUAAUCUCCAAAUUGAGGAUGAAAUGGAGCGCACUCUUUCGUGGCACUUUUAUAGGCAGGAGAGAGAGUGGUCUCACAACGGAAGGGCACCAGCCACUGAGAAGUCCUAAGGCCGUGUUUGAGUUCUGGCUCAUCUUUUUUGCUAAUUUGCUCUUAUGCAUAUCACCCAACCUCGCUAAGCCAGUUUCAUCAUCAGCGAGAACAGCACACUGACAUGCAGGGCCAGCUCAGGCGCUACCACAAGCUACACAUCCGUCCAUUCGUUUAAUCUUCACAGCAGCCCUGGAGGUCACCCAGGCAUGGAAUGCACAGCUCUGCCAGACAGAAAGCGCUUUGGAUGCCUGAGAAACAACAGCUUGUCCGGGCUACUGAUGCGAAGAGAGGCCAUGGUUUCCUUUUUCUCUGCUCUGAAUGGCAGCCUUGACGUCACAACAGCUAGGAACCACUGGAGGGACAAAUAACAAGGCGCAAGCCAGAAGCGCCCUGCUCUGUCGCAGGGGCAGGGCCAUUUUCAUCCAGUUCUGAUGUCUUCUGUGGCCGCUGCGAGUCGGCGGGAGUAGAGACAAAUGACUGGAGCUUUAGGCGUAAAGGCGGUCUCUCUCUAGGCUGAUCAAACAGCCCUUUGCCCAGUGCUAAUUGCCUUCACGGAACCUGGAUAAACUACAGUUCCCGAAUUAAACUUGUUUCUGAUGAACUAGACUUCCCAGGGAAUGGGUGUAGUGAUUUUGCUGAUGGUUCAGACAUCGGCACUUUCCCUGAAGGGCUCAACUUCCUGUGUUUAAAAGCAGACCUAACAGGGGCUGGCGCAUAAGCAUCCCGGGAAAUACAAGAAGCUCAUGAAAGCAGGCAGCCUUUGCAAGAGACCUGACUUAUUUUCUAGGAGAAAAACAUCCUUUUAGGGAUUUUAUAAUUUAAGUUUAAGCAAUUAAACAUGUGCAUCAGUACCCAACUGCAGGUGUUUGAACAAAUGAGGGGAAAACGCUCAGAGGCUGCCAGGCUUAACUCACCAUUAUCUAAAAUGAAUUGUCUGUGUAAGUCAUCACAGCAGUUUGAAAAGCAUGAUCUUUCAUGUUUCAACCUCACAUCAAAAUUCUAAAUUAUAUUUAGCUAUGUGAGUGUCAGAUCAUUUGUUUCCAUUAUCAAUGCGAUGUUGGGCAAUUUGCAGACAGGAUCUGAAAGCAUCAUCCAUGACUUUCAUGGAACAGAAAAGAGCUUUCUGUUGCCACAGAUUUGCCCUAAGUUCAGUCCUCUGCCUUUGGAGCACUGACAGCUGUCACCAAACCCAAACCCCAGUCUGAACCCAUAGUGCUCAAGGUACUUUGGGAAAGCUAAUUCAGGAAAACCACAGGCUGGAGGGGUUGUCUUUGAGGUGUGUAUGUGUGUGUGUGUGUAUGCACAUUUGUUGGCAGUGUGUGGACUGAGCACAACAUAUAGAGAGGCAGUGUUCUCAGGACUUCUGUGCUCCUAUUUGGAAAAAUUCGGCAGAAGAAACAACAGCUCUGAGACACUCAGCCCCUUUCAUCAGCUCUUUCUUUGCUUAAUUAAAUACACAGUUCCCCCCAAAGCACUCUUUCCCUGAGGUCAUAGUGUCAGUCUUGUUUCAUGAGAAUAAUCUGCUAUGAAUAUUUACUCACUUUCAAAAACAAAAGAGGGUUAAAAAUCUGAUCCAAAAUGUCACUUACGACACCUACAACAGAAUCUACCCCUCUGCCUCCAGGCUGUCCUGACAACCCAUGUCCUCAACAGGAAUCUGCAGUCUGUUCUGGAAUCUGGUCUUUGGACUCAAAUGAUCUUACCUGGGUAGCUAACAAAGUCUUCUGUCUUGUUCCUGCUGUUAAAAAAUCCAAGUAUGUUCAGGCAUUAAACAAUGGAGAAGAUAAAGCAAAAAUAAUUUUUUAACUACAUCUUUCUUUUUCAAGUGGUGGUUAUGCUCAAGAGGUGAAAUUUAUUGUGGCCCUACCCCUGUUUUUAUAAGAGCUUUUUAUAGUAUAAGAACUAUAAUUAAGUUUCCUCUGAACUGUUUUAUUAAACUUAAGUUUUCAAGAAGAGAAUGAUAAAAUUUCUUAAACUACUAUGUUUUCAAGGGGAGGACAAUUUAUUUUUAUUGUUCUAGCAUAAGGAAAGAGAGAAUGAGAGGGAAAGUGUUUUUUAACCUGUAUCCUGAUUAGAAUUUUUUAAUGUUCAAAUUCCUGAUUAUAAACUGCAGUAAACAAUCAGUCAUUCAUUAACAAGCAACUAUUGAAAAGGCGAUAUUUAAAAGAGAAAAAAUAAAACAUGUGAUUAAAACUCUACACACGUCUUCACUUCAAGGCAAACGCAGUGGCCAUCUGGGUAUUUAGAAGGUGCCAAAUAUCAUUGGGAUCUAGAUUUAAUUCAUGUUAUAAAGAAAGCACUAUAUUUAAUUUGUUCACAAAAGACCUAGAACCUCGUAGAAAUGAUGGUGUUGAAGUGAACUUUUAACAUUAAAAUAAGGUCUUUAUUUUACAAUUUUUUAAAUAUGUGAUCAAUCACAAACAUGAACAAACUUUCAAUGCUCCAGUGUUCUACUCUGAAUGAGAAAAGUUGGAAAGAUCAUUUUCAGCUUUCAAAAAUUUUUGCUUUAAUUUUCUCUAUUUGGAAAUCUUUAAAAAUUAGUCAGUUUAAAAGUCCUGGCUGCUUUUAGUCAGAAGGGCCUAAGAAGAGACAAGACUUUUCCCAGGGUAUCCAAAGACAGAUCCAGAGAAUUUAAAGCCUGGACAUAUUACCUGGACUGAAGGCAUUCGUUGCUUGCUUUACUGGUGAGGACUGGGAAGACCUGACUUCCACAGUCCUCUUUCCAAGUGGCAGGAAACAGGACAUGCACUAUGCCAAGCAGCUUCCAGCACCCAUGCAGCACCCUUCCAGCACCUAUGCAGCAGUAUCCAUGCUCUGAAGUGAAGCCUGAACUCGCCACCUCGCCACUGAGGGCUCCCCAGCAGGGCAGGGAUGGGACCCUUCCUGGUAUCACAUGCUCGCUCGCCUCCUGAGUCCUGCAUGAACAACAGACUGGAUCCCUGUUUUUAGUCUGAGGACACUCAUGAGAUUUUUCCAAAAAUUUUCUUCAGGAGCAGACACUAUUGUGAAUACCACAUAAACAAGCUCUCCCUUUUCCAAUUCCUCUUUUGAAAAUGGUAGAGAAUCAGCAUAUCUGGCUCUAACUUAACUUGUAAAAAAAAUAAUAGAUUUUUUAAAAAGUUUCAGUUUAUCACACUCAACCACAGUUAUCUUCCAAUGCUACAAUGUACACAUAAAAAAUUAGUUUUCAAAGACUGCCACUUGUGCUUGUUAGGAAAAACUUGUAUCUAUCCAUCCUUUCUAUGAAAAAACUCUAUAAUGCUAAACUUCCAGAGUGACUCUGUACUAGAUAGCUUCACAAAACUACAAUCUUUGUGCUUACAAAGCUACUUCUACUAGGUAACAACAGAAGCACCGUCAUGAACCCUAGUUUCUGAAUAGGUACAUAGGAUUGACACAUGCCAGGCUUUAGUUAGACUCUCACGGUGUUUGUCCCUUUACGUCACGGCACAUCAUACCCUGCAGCUGCCUUUGUGUGCUUAUUUGCUGCCAGAUUCCUCUGCUAGUGUGUAAGUGCCAUGAAGGCAGGAUUCAUGCCUACGCUGUUCUUGUGUAAGAACUGCUAAUGCCAGGGCCGGGUGUGGGGGCUCACACCUGUAAUCCCAGCACUUUGGGAGGCCGAGGUGGGCGGAUCACCUGAGGUCAGGAGUUUGAGACCAGCCUGGCCAACAUCGUGAAACCCCAUCUCUACUAAAAAUACAAAAAUUAGCUAGGUGUGGUGGCGGGCGUCUGUAAUCCCAGCUACUCGGGAGGCUGAGGCAGGAGAAUGGCUUGAACCCGGGAGGUGGAGGUUGCAGUGAGCCGAGAUUGGGCUACUGUACUCCAGCCUGGGCAACAGAGCGAGAUUCGGUCUCAAAAUAAACAAAAACAAACAAACAAACAAACUGCUAAUGCCAGAAAGAGAGGAAGGAGAAGGAAAGGAAGAAAAAAAUAAGGUAGAAGGGAGAGGAAAGUGACAGAAACAACAGAGAAGAAAAGGGAAGGGAGGAGGGAAAGAAAAGAGGCAGAAACAGCCACUACACUGGUUUUAGUAAAUAGGAGUGACUUUGCAGUUUCAUUAGAUUUUUCAUUCAUACAGUUAAAGGUUCCUUGUAGCCAUGAUCUCAUCAAAUCUCACAAUAACCCUGAGUGACCUUUUAACAUUAAACUAAAAUGUUUACUUAUGGCAGAGAUUAGGAAUGACUAGUUUCUAGAUCUUCCACAUUUUAUCUGUACAUCACUCAUGACAGCAGGUAGUUCUGAGACGGACCUCUAAAGUGAUCUGUGUGUUCAUACAGGUCUGUGUUUCUGUAAGUCAACAGUUUAAGAAUUGUGAAAGGCCAGGCGCAGCAGCUCAUGCCUGUAAGCCUAGCACUUUGGGAGGCCAAGGCGGAUGGAUCACUUGAGGCCAGGAGUUCGACCAGCCUGACCAACAUGGCGAAAGCUUGUCUCUACAAAAAAUACAAAAAUUAGCCGGGUGCGGUGACCCACGCCUGUGAUCCUGGCUACUCGGAAGGCUGAGGCAUGAGAAUCACUUGAACCUGGGAGGUGGAGACUGCAGUGAGCCGAGAUCGUGCCACUGUACUCCAGCCUGGGUGACAGAGUAAGACCCUGUCUCAAAAAAAAAAAAAAAAAAAAAUUGUGAUAAAUGCCCAGCAUUUCCUUCAUUUUUAUUCACUCAACAUGUCUUAUAACCACAAAGCCCAGAUUUGAACCUUGUAUAUACUCAUGGAAAGGAGAACCAGUUCUCAAGCAACUCUUCUCAUUUUUACCAACCACAUAAACAUGUAGCUUCCGGUAAAACAAUACUUCUCAUUUUACAAGUUCAUUAAUCAAUAAUGAGCAGGCUCAGUGGGGGCACAGGACAACCUGAGCCUGACAGCGAGGAAGGCGGAUUUUGUCACGGAGGGAGGGUUCUCAUGAAACUCUGGAUCUCCCAGCUAGUUGGGGGGCACUAACAAGGGCUGCCCAGAGAGCACGCAAGGUCUCUCCAAUCAUGCCACAAACCCCGCAAUGUCAGGACAAAGGCACCGGUGUUGACAGAGACCUUGGAGUUCAUCAGAGAGGUGACAUCACCUGCCUAGGUCUCUACUUCCCUGCUCUUUUCCCCAGCAAAACCAACCACACUUUGCAUUCCCCAUCAUUAUUAAUCCUCCAAACAAGCAACCCGUCCACAUAGGAACAAGGAACCUGAGGUGAAGUGAGCCGAACUGGCUUACCCAAGCUCACACAGCGCAGGGCCGUCAGCAUUGGGAGGCAGCCCUGGGUCCUAUAGGCCUCAUGCACGGCCUGCCUUGCUGUCGAGAAAGUCCCAGCCACCGACACAGGCUGCAGGAAACGGCACCAAAGUCACUUGCAGCAGCGCAGAGAAAGUGUGAACAAAGAACCUUUUUUUUUUUUUUUUUUGGGAGAUGGAGUCUCACUCUGUUUCCCAGGCUGGAGUACAGUGGGGCACGAUCUCAGCUCACUGCAACCUCCAUCUCCCAGGUUUAAGUGAUUCUCCUGCCUCAGCCUCCCAAGUAGCUGGGAUUACAGGCGCCCACCACCACCAUACCCAGCAAAUUUUUGUAUUUUUAGUAGAUGGGGUUUUGCCAUGUUGGCCAGGCUGGUCUCGAACUCCUGACCUCAGGCGAUCUGCCCGACUUGGCCUCCCAAAGUGCUGGGAUUAUAGGCAUGAGCCACCGCGCCUGGCCUUUUAUUUCUAAGGGAAAUAAAAGUCCCAGCAGAGCAUUCUAGUUUUGAAGCAUCUCACCUAGGAACACUAACAGACAGCAAAUUUAACCUGCUGAGUGCAGCCCUCAUUUGGUCCAUUUUUCUUGCCACAACUGCCUACUGCCCUUCUGUCAAGGCAGAGGCAGACAUAAACCACUACCAUCUGUGGCUGCCCUGGGAACUGUGAGAACUCAUGGAAAUAAUGCGUCCCCUUGUGACUUCACAUCGUGCACCUCCUGUGACAACCCUCCCCUCUGACAAUUACACUCACACCCAGUUCCCACGUGAACACGCUGAGUCCAGCCUUGGAGAUGCAGCUUUUGUCUUGCUGAAACCUUCCAGUUAAAUUUCUCCAUCAAUUUUUCAAAUAGUAUUAUUAGCUGAGGGACUAAAAUCUGCCUGGCGUUCUUCUGAUGACAAAGGUAACCCAUCCCUCCCUGUGCUCCCCAUCCUCACGUUGUUUCUAAUUCAGAUUUUCUUCUCCCUUCUCCUGAAUACCUGCAUCUUCUUCCUGACUGACAUGGCUUUAGGAAACACAGCACAUUCACAAACAUCUGAAGCCAACUGCAAGGCACCCGUCACUCAGCGAGAAAAGCAGAAAGGUGCCAAUUCAGAUGGCUGAGCUACUUCGCCUGGGUCCCGACCUGUAUCACCACAGGGUCACAGAAAUGGAACCUUCUCCGUCACACCUCCUGAUGGCAGUCAGCUGUGACCCGCUGAAUCCAGGACAUCAUGCAUUCCAGUUUCAUUUGCGAGAACAUUUCCAGGUCCGGCUGAAGCCUAGUGGCUCCAGCAGAGGUCUCAACCCCUUUGGGAUGCUCAGUGGGAGACAGAAUCAAGGGCCAAUGAUCCAUGACCUAGUCCUAGUGCCCAUGUCAGUUUGUCAAAGGCCCUCAGAGCAGAUUGUGUUUUCCCUGGCGGGGGCUUGACUUCUUUGCUUUAAAAAGGAUUCUUAAGUAUUUAUUGCAGUAAAAUUAACCACCUUCAAAUUUCUGCCAGAUCCCCUGGAGGUAUAUAGCUUAUUAACACAAAACAAAUGUGACACUUGAAAGGCAGGAGACUUGGUUUCUAUUCUCUGGCCCACUACUGACUUAUUGGGUGGCUUCAGGCAAAUAAGUGAAAUCAAGAAGACACCAUCUUCAACAAGCACAGAGUGGGCACCUGGCAGGUGAGCAGUGCCCUGUGAGGUCUGGGGCUGGGUUCGGUGGUGAAACUAGGUCAGCACACACAGCCCUUUGCUGGGGGCCCACUGCCUGGGGUAGGAUUUUUGUAGCUGGGUUCAAGGUGGACAUGCUGAAAUGUGACCCUAAAAUGUUUGUACUCUUGAAGCUGAAGGAGUGGGAAGAAACCUGUCAUUUAAAGAAGGACAGUAUGGCCAGGUGUGGUGGCUCACACCUGUAAUCUCAGCACUUUGGGAGGCCAAGGUGGGAGGAUCACUUGAGUCCAGGAGUUUGAGACUAGCCUGGGUAACAUAGGGAGACCACAUCUCUACAAAACAUUUAAAAAUUAGCCAGGCAUGGUGGGAUGUGCCUGUAGUCCCAGCUACUCAGGAAGUUGAGGCAGGAGGAUCACUUGAGCCCAGGAGGUCAAGGCUACAGUGAGCUAUUGUCAUGCUACUGCACCCCAGCCUGGGUGACAGAGUGAGACCCCGUCUCAAAAAAAAAAAAAAAAAAAAAAAAAAAAAAAAAAAAAAGAAGGAAAGGAAGGAAGGGAGGGAGGGAGGGGAGAAGGAAGGAAGGAGAAGGCAGGCAGGAAAUCAAUAUGACAGCAUAGCACUGGAGCUAAGAACACACCUUCUAGAAGCAGACUCUAUGAAUUCAAAUCCUGGGUCUACCAUUUAUAAGCUGUACUUUCCUCUGUAAAAUAUGAAUCUACAGUACCUACUUCUCACAGAUUGUUAUAAAGAUGAGAUGUGUUAAUAUAGAUAAAGUAAGCACUCAGUGAAUAUGAGGCAUUAACCAGAACCCAACAAGGUGCCAUCAUCAAAUAUAAUAAUUGAGUGCAUAACUUUUUUCAGUUUACAAAGCAAAUUUACAUAUAGCAUUUCUUUUGGAUCUCACAAAACUCCAUGAGAGCUGGCAAAAUACUUCCCCCCAUUUUCUUUGAAGCUCAUACUCUCCUUGUUUACUCCCUUACAAGUCACACUUGAACAAAGUGACCAGGCAGAUUUGGGAAAAAGCAAACAAACAAAAAACACCAGAUAGACCUUUAAGAAAUUAAAAAACAAAAAACAAAAAACAAAAAACUGUUAACACAGAAAUCUCAGUUGAUGGGCUAAAUGGCCCAUCAUUCUAAGAAUAGUUGGGAAGACAAUGCUUUAGAUGCCAUCUACACGCUGUUAGUUCCAUCUCAGUCAUCUCUCCUGAAUAACAGCAUCCACCUGCCUGCUCAUUUCCAAUGGAUUUCUAAUAGAGAUCUCAGACUCAACAUGUCUAUAAAAAGAGCUCCUUGUUUCCCACCCCCCCUCAAUAAAUAAGAUAGUGGAUAAAUUAUGAUAUAUUCACACACUAGAAUAUUCUGGCAAUAUGAAGGAACUGUAGCUAUUCCUGAAAACAUGGAUGAAUUUUGCAAAUAUAUGGAGGAAAAUCUCAAGUUCCAAAAAGACCAUGCAAAGUCCGAUACUAUUUUUAUAUGUCUCAAAAUACCUUUAGCAACACACAUUUACUCAUUACACUGUGAUAAAAAUAUAUGUUUGUUUAAAAAUCAGGAUAAUUAUAAAUACAAAUUUCGGAAUAGUGGGAAAGCAGGAAAAUGCUAGGAAUAAGAUACUUAGCGAGAUCUCCAAGUAUUUGUAAUGAGCCAAUUCUUAAGUUGGAUGGUGGUUCACUGGAGCACCUUUAAAAUUGUGCUUUAGAGUUUACUUGUAUGUUACAUACCAUCUUUUGUAUAUAUCAAAUAAUUAUAAAUUAAAAAGACAGAAAUGCCAUCCACAAAAAUGAACUGUGCUGAAGUAAUUCAUAUUUCAAAACAAUAAGCUAAGCAAUGAAGGAAAGUAACUCUUGCUAAAAAUAUGAGGAAGUUAAUUUAUGCUAAUAAAGUUGGUUAUGGAAUAUAAUUACUUGAGCAAGGAUGACUAAAAUAUGUCUAUACUAUGUGUAUCAAAUGCCAAGGGGGAAAUGACCAGGGUAUUUACAGAUCAGAACAAAUGUAUUUAUGAAGAAUCUUUUUUUUUUUUUUUCUAUUUUGCAGACUUUCUUUUUUAAAAGCAAAAUAAAUUGACAUGACUUGUUCAGGGUUAACUGUUUGGCAGGUGGAUGAUCUGUGGCCAUCCAUGAUGAGAUCACCUCCCUGCCCCGCUGGCCCCCAGCCUCUAGAAGUCAGGGCUUCUGAGGCCCAGAAGCUCAGCGCCACACCUGUUGAAGGCCAGUGAUGUCAGAGUUACUCUUCCUUCCUCCAGCAGCACUGACAGCAGUUUAUUGUACGCAAUUUCUAGAACUCAGAUGUUCUAGAAGGAAGCAAACAUAUUCUGAGAUCACAGACUAUGACUAUGCUCUCAGAAUAUGUUCUAGAACACCUAAGUUGCAAUUCUUAAAAUCAACACAGCGUAAGACUGCUUUAGGAGGAAGUGAUCAAGCUCAAAGCAACCUAGGCAUGAUGUGCCUUGUUUGUUUAUCUGUUUGAACAGGAAUAAAACGAAAAGAGGCCUGUGUAUUUCUCGUAUUUUUAUAUAAGAGCUGGAGCUAUUUGAACGGCUAAGGAGAAGAAGAUAGUUUGAUUUAGAUUUGGCAUGGGUUUAGGGGAAGAAACGUCUCUGUAGCUGGUCCUAAAUAUUAUGGUAACUUGGACUGAAUCAGUCUCCAAGGGAGAAGCUGCCACAUGUUAUAACAGAAGCCACUGGGCUUGGCAAGAAACAAAUGAAAAAAAGUACAACGAAAGCAACCCCACUUCUCCAUCGUGGCGGGGAUGAGCUAGGCAGGACGACUGCAUGUCUUCCUUUCCUAUGCCUGACCAAAUCCAGCACUGCCCUUUCAAAUCAGUCUUCAUCACAUUCCAAAGAAUACAAAAUACGCAAGUUAAUUUUAAUUUCCAAUGAAUUCUUCAGGAGAAAUUUUUCUUCCUCCUUCCUAAAAAAAAGAAUAAAAAAUGCAGAAUAGAGAUUCAAAAUGAGGGGUGGCAGCAAAAAUUCUGACUCGCAGAAGGUUGAGAGGGUGCCUUUUUCAAAUGUAUUUAUUUUACAGUUCCAAGAAGGUAAGACUACCUUCUGUUUUGAUUCAUGCUUCACCAUUCCCCACUUAAAUUUUUAAAAAUUACAUCCUUGCCUAUGUCUGUCUUGCUAUUUGACUGGUCACUCCCAAACAUAAACUGCCCUAGUUUGAAGCUUCCCAAAGCCAAGCAAAGGUGACAGACUAGUACAAAGAAGGCCGCUAGUGAGUUUUUACUGAGUGAAUCUACAUUGUUCCAUGGCCUUGGUCUGGAUAUAGAUUCUAAAGCUUCUUACACUGACACAAAUGGAGUUUCUAGCUCUCCAGGUAAUUUUCGGUGAAAGAAAAUUAUAGAAGAAGGCAUAAACCUUGGCUCACAAAAUAAAUACGCACUCAGACCCAUGUACUUCAUGAAACAUACAAGCCCAGAGCUAGACCAUGCCAUCUGUUUUAUGAGGAAAAAAAAUAAAUUCACAUGAUUUACUUACUUUAGCUCUGCCAGAAAUCAUCAGCAUCUACUUGCACAACUAAAGACAAGAAGACAAGGCAGAUGGAGGCUAAACACCGAAUACUGCCUAAUUUUGAUGUAUAUUUUUGGGUCAAACCUCUUAUAAUUUACUAUUUCCAAGAGGGAAAAUAAGCUUAUAUAAUGGCACUGAAUCAUUGGCUUCCAGUUAUGGGAAGCAAAGGAAAUUAACCUCAAGGGGAAAAAAAUGCUACAAAUAUAAAUAAUAUAGUUUCUGUUUACGAAGCAGUUUUUCAUGUACUGCCAUUUCUUUCUUUUUUUAAAGAAGAUAUGUUUACAAAAUAGGUGACCAACUAAGGUAGGUGUGUGUGAAGAGAGGCAGUGAGAGAGAGGGGAUCCUGAAAUUCUUUUCAGUAAAGGAAAAAGAUAAUUUUAGGGAUGUUUUUAAAAAUAUAUAACUUGAUGAAUUUUUUAUAGCAUGAGUAUUAUUUAGGUGCUGUCCUAGACCAGUGUGGCGUAUAGGCUAUAGAAGAUUGGUCCUGAAUGCUAAUGGCAGGGAUGAGUGUAAGAUCAUCAAAACUUAUUUGUGGGAAGGAGAGCUACUGACAGAGCCAUGUAUUACAUGACUCCAGUCUGGGCUGAUAGGCCUGCCUUAAAGCAUAGCUAGAGGGCAGGCACGGUGGCUCAUGCCUGUAAUCUCAGCACUUUGGGAGGUUGAGGCGGGCAGGUCACUUGAAGUCAGGAGUUUGAGACCAGCAACAUGGUGAAACCCCAUCUCUACUAAAAAUACGAAGAUUAGCCGGGUGUGGUAGCAUGUGCCUGUAGUCCUAGCUACUCAGGAGGCUGAGGCAGGAGAAUCGCUUGAACUGGGGAGGCAGAGGCUGCAGUGACCCAAGAUUGUGCCACUUGCACUCCAGCCUGGGUGACAGAGUGAGACUCCAUUUCAAAAAAAAAAAAAAAAAAAAAAAAGCAUAGAUAGACAAAAUGUCCUGGAAUCACUAAAAUGGAUAAAUUAUGAUAUCCAUAAAGUGGAUAAGUUAUGAUAUAUAUUCACACACUAGAUACACACAUUAUGAUAUAUUCAUAUAUAUCGUGAAGGCUAAACCCACAUGAGUCCAUAACACACUCACAGGUCUGUGCCCUUUGGCCCUGGCCCUCUCGCCAUUCGGAAGCGAUCACAGAGAACACAAUGAGUCUGUUAUUCGCUCAAUAUACAGUCAUGUGCAGCAUAACAUUUCAGUCAAUGGUGCACCGCACCCAUGAUGGUGGGCCCGCAAGAUUACAUGGAGCUGAAAAUUCCUAUUGCCUAGUGACACUGUAGCCACUGUAACACACUGCAGGGCUUUACUUUUUCUAUGUUUAGGUAUGUUUAGAUAUAUGAGCACUUACCAUUGUGUUACAAUGUAUUCAGUACAGUCGUACUGUACGCCACACAGGUUUGUGGCCUAGGAGCAAUAGGGCCAUAUCAUAUCGCCUAGGGAUGUAGUAGGCUAUACCAUGUAGGUUUAUGUAUAUACACUCUAUGAUGUUCACACGAUGACAAAACUGCCUAUCCCCAUUGUUAAAUGACACAUGACUGUAUGUGCAUUAAGUACCUACUGUGUGUCAGGUAGUGUACUUGGCAGGUGCUGAAGUAUGGUGGUGAAUCAAUGGAGAAAGUCCCUUAUGGAGUUCAUAGUCUAUGGGGAAGAAUGGUGAGCUCCAGUAUAGAUACCCAGUAUAUACAGAGAGAGGUCCAGUACAGACACCCAGUAUAGACAUAGCCAAGUGACCAAGAGCACUGGCUUGGAGUCAUUCAGAUGAGGUUUAAUCCUUGGUUCUGCUACUUGCUUUGGAAAUGUCACUCCCUAAUCACUGCUUACUUUAUAUGUAAAAUGGGAUGGUAAUGCCAGCCUUUCAGGGCUAUUGAGAAGAUUCCAUGAGACAAUGUUUAUAAAGCACUUACAACAGCAUCUAGCACCCAACAGACCUAAUAAAUGGGAGUUAUGAUGAUUGUUCUCUCAAAGAUCCAAGGGACACACACAAAGAGGUUUGCUAUUUUCUCCCCCAGAACACACCCCAAAAUGCUGAACCAGGAGCCAACUCAUAUCACCACUUUAUCACGCUCCUGUAUGACCCUGGGCAAAUCAGAUGCCCACCAGUGUCACUAGGCUAGACAGCAAAGUCUAGUUGCUAAAAAUAUACUCCAGCAGGUGGUCUACAGUGUUGCUGUAAUGGGAAUGUUUUCUGUUUUUCAAGGAGCUAAGAAGCAUUAUCGGAUGGUCUCUUGAAAAAUAACUUAUAAGCAUUUUCUCUUUCAAUACAAGCCCUACCAAGAGCACACUACCAUAAUAAAUAUUCUGGACAAUGGUUCCAAAGGGAGAGAUGAAAAGCUGUGCUCGGGGCAUUAAGCUGAGAAGCGGUGGAGUAGUCAAUAGCACAACCUCUGCAGCCAGGCUGCCUGAGUCUUCAGUCCAGCUCUGUCACUCACUAGCUGUGUAGCAAUGACCACAUCGCUCACUGGACUCAUUGCUUAAAAUCUGUAAAAUGGGAUAGUAUUAUUCCCUAUCUCAUUAGGUAGUUGUAAGGAUUAAAAUCACUAACACCUGUAGGGCAACUAAAACAGCACCUGACAUACAGAGAACAUUCCAUAAACAUUACCAAUAAUUACGCAUGGCAAACUCAAUAACUUUAUUACCUUGCUAAUAAAAACAUGAGGGCCAAAUAGCAAGAAAGCGACUGAACUACACCAGAGGUUUGAAACUUGAGUUUUCUCCUUGGCUCUCCCAUCAACUGUCUGCAUGACUGUGGGUACAUCACUUCCCUUCUAUAUUUCACUAUUCUCAUCUAUACAAAAAGCAAUAUACGCACACACCAAGAACACCUAGAGAAGCCUGAUGCAGCUUUCUGCUAAUACCAACUGGAGCCAAACAACUUAAAUUUAUUUAUCUUCCUAUCUGCAUUAGUCAGGGUUCUCCAGAGAAACAGAACCAAGAGGGAGAGAGGGAGAGGAAGAGGAAGAGGGAGAGGGCGAUUGAGAGGGAGAUUGAGAUUGAGAGAGAGAGAGACUGAGAUUGAGAUUGAGAGAGAGAGUGGUGGGGGUGGGGGUAGAUACUGAUAUUUACCUUAAGGAACUGGCUCAUGCAAUUACAGGGACUGACAAAUCCACAAUCUUCAGGGCAUGCUGGUGACCAAGGGAAGAGUUGAUGUUGCAGUCUUUUUUUUUUUUUUUUUGAGACAGAGUCUCACUCUGUCGCCCAGGCUAGAGUGCAGUUACAUGAUCUCAGCUCACUGCAACCUCUGCCUCCUGGGUUCAAGUGAUUCUCAUGCCGCAGCCUCCCAAGUAGCUGGGACUACAGGCGCCUGCCACCAUGCCCAACUAAUUUUUGUGUUUUUAAAUAGAGACAGGUUUUUGCCAUGUUGGCCAGGCUGGUCUUGAACUCCUGAUCUCAAGCGAUCCACCCAUCUCAGCCUCCCAAAGUGCUGGGAUUACAGGCGUGAGCCACCGUGCCAGGCCGAUGUUGCAGUCUUGAGUCUGAAGGGAGACUGGAGACAGAGUUCCUUCUUCUUUAGGGACUUCAAUCUUUUUCUCUUAAGGCCUUCAACUGAUGAUAUAUGAGGCCUACAUACAUUACAAAGGAUAAUCUGCUUCACUCCUUCUACUGAUAUAAAUGUUAAACCUCAUCUAAAAAACUACCUGCACAGCGACAUCUAGACUGGUGCUUGACCAAGUAUCUGGGUACUGUGGCCUCGCCAAGCUGAUACAUACAAUUAGCCAUUACACCAUCCUUUCAGAAGGGGUGAUGCCCACACCGAAGGAAAAAACCUCUAGACUCCACAGCCAUUUAAUCUUCUAUUGGAGACCAUAAUCGAGGCAAGGAAUUCAGAUGAGGCUACUCUUUUCUUCACAGGUGAAUUCCAAGCGUCUCACAGCUUCCAGGGCAUUUCUUGUUCUGGUUCCUGCUCACCUGUCUUAUCUCCUUGCUCUUCCCUCCAUUCCAGCCACACGUGGUUUUUGGUUUAAAGACACUGUGUUCUUAUCUUGCUCUGCCUGAGUACGCGCUACUUCCACGGCCUGGGGUAUGCUGUUUUCCCACUUUUUAACUGGGUCCUCAUCAUUUGAGUCUCAUGUUGAGAACCACAACUGCCUCUAGAGAGCUUCCCUGACCUGACAAGGUUAGGCCAGUAAGUUCCCACAGCCAAUCUGCACACCUCCUGCCUUACACUCAAGCCACGCCAUCAGGGCUCCCUCCCAGCCUGGCAGCUCCGUGAAGGACACACCUCUCUUGUUGGUCACAGCAUUCAUGCUGCCAAGCUGGUCCACGAAGACACAACAAAUAGCUGCUGAAUAAAUAAAUGAGGAUGCAGAUGGUUCUUAAGCCUUGACCUUCAAUCCUCCCAAUGUCCUUGAGAUUCGGCUCCAUGUCUCCAACCACUUGCUGGACACCUGAAGGCGGGAAUCUCACCAGCACCUACACUGAAUAUGCACAGAGUGGACAGAGCUUGUCUUUGCUCUCACGUACGCUGUCUUCCAAGCCUAGUACAGUAGAAAGAACACAGGCUUGGGGGUCAGGGAGGCCUGUACUGAAGUCCCUGUUCUAGAUCCUGUUACAACUGUACAAUUUUAGACCAAUUGCUAAUUUUCUCUGACCCUUAGUUUUCUCGUCUCUGAUAUAAGGAUGAAAAUACCAACCCACAAGAUUAGGAGGAGAUUAAAUGAGAUAAUAGCUAUGCAAUGCCUGGCAGAUGGCAUAGAAAUAAUGAAUGGCACCUGGGUUCAAAGCUCUGGGGGCAUUUUUGCUUCCCAUCGGCCAACCCCUAUUAUCUAGGCAGUUCCUAAAUCCCAUCUCAUAAAUUCAAUUUCUCCAUCUAGUGGCCUUCCCCUCACCCAGGCCCUCCCCACCUCCCUCCUGGACCACAACAGCAGCUCUAAAAGGCUUCCCAGCUCUGGCUAUUUCACAGUCCAGAGGCACCCACAUGCUGAUCCCCGCAAGGCCUCUUCAGGAUGGGGACUCUAGCCACUCAAAUUCUUCCAUUGCUCCCCAGUAACUUAAGUUUAAAUCAUUUAGUCACGUGCCAUUCAAGGCCCUCUGGGUUCUGGCCUCCAAGGACCUUUGCUACCUGAUCUUCUCCUUAGUGGUUUACACACAUCAUUGCCCAGCAACUACAAAUCGAUUCCUGCCCACUCUGCACCCCGGCAUUUCCCAUCCCUACCUAUGCCUUUGCUCAUGUUUCCUUCAACGAGGAUACUCCAAGACCUCAAGUCCAACAUUACCUUUCUUUCAAUGUCUGGCUCAAAGGCUCUUUAUCCAUGAAGCAUUUCUUGAUCAUCCCAGCCACAGAUAAACACACAACCUUUCUUUUCUAUGAACUUGUGGUAUGUUUAUCUCUCUACCUUUUAUACAUUUCUCUUUCUCUCUGCAUUUAUUCUUUGUUUUUCUUUUUUCUAAGACAUCUUGUUAUAGCAUCUCUGCAUUUAUUCUAAUUUUAUCUGUGCACAGAACCUUAGCUUCAAGCUCCUUGAAGGGUAGCAUCGUGUCCCAGCCUACACUGUCACACUCAGGAGAAGCACCCAGUAGAUGGUGGCUCUGUAUCUACCUACAGAGUGCCACUGAGGAGCACAGGCCUUCAGGUCUGUAGCCCAUCAGCUGAGCCUUCGCAUCAGCUCCUAGAACAGUGCCUGGCAUAGAGCAACACCCAGAAAUCAUUGUUAAAUGAAAUUAUCCACAAGGGAGUCACCUAGUGUCUACAUGAUAGAAAUUCUUUCCCUGUAGAAUAUAACAUGAAAGGGGGUGUGAAGAAGCCUUCUCUCUCCCCAUACUUCCAGAUGCAAGAAAGCUUCACGUUAACUGUCUCCCACAAGCUAUAUAGCUACUCUCGGCAAUAAACAUGACAUAUAAUACUUUGGUGCAUUUGGCGUGUCAAAAAUAUUCAAUUUUAACAUGUCAGAAAGAAUCAUUUUUCAAAAACAGUCUCCUUUGGAGAAGAGAGUUAUUCAAACAAUAUCCAAAACCUUUUUGGAUCUCACAUUUUGAAGAGGUCCAACUUCCGUUGGUUAAAAAAAAAAGUCUAUUAUAUAAUGAAAGCCUUACAACUGACUGAGAAUUAUAGAAUUUCAGAAAUAAAUCCCAGUCUGUUCAUCCUUAAAAUAAGAAGCUAUUUUUCAGGGCUUUCAUGUCCAAAAUUAUAUUAUGUAAGCCACUUCAUAAAUCAUGUACACAACAAUUCUCAUUUUUCCAUUAAAUCUCUAUUUUGAAAUUUAAUUCACUCAUCCAUUUUUUCAGAGAUGGGAUCUUGUUCUGUCGCUCAGGCUAGAGUGCAGUGGUGUGAUCAUAGCUCACUAUAGCCUUCAACUCCAGGGCUCAAGGGAUCCUCCUGCCUCAGCCUCCCAAGUAGCUAGGACUAUAGAUGCAUGCCACCAUGUGUGGCUUAUUUUUUUAUUUUAUUUUAUUUUUUUGUAGAGAUGGGGAUCUAUGUUGCCCAGGCUGGUCUUGAACUCCUGGCCUCAAGUGAUCCUCCCACCUCAGCCUCCUAAAGUGCUGGGAUCACAGGUAUGAGCCACCGUGCCCUGUCUUUUUAUUUUGACCCCCUCUUGGCUCUAACAGCACACGUGUACCUCUGUUACAGGACAUCAGUCUACAGUGCUACCUCUUUUUAUAGUCAUUUAUCUCACUAACCUGUGUCUUUCUGAAAUGCCAGACCCAUGUUCACUUUUGAAUCUACAGUACCUUCUACUGAAAUGUAGUAGCUGGCUCAGUCCAUGUUUAUAACAUGAAACAAUGACUUGAAUCAGUGGUUUGAUCACCUACCAUAUUCAUGAGACCUAACUAUUGGCUCCCUCCUACCCUCAAAGGACAGAGAUUUCCCACCGCUGUGGAUAGUCAAAAGAAGAUAGAAAGUUCUUAAGUGCUUCAUUUAAUGUGUUUAUUUAGUCCCCUUGAAAUAAAUACUGAUGGGUAAAACCAAAUUAAAUCACAUGCUAAAAAGGAUAGCCAGUCAAGUACCUAGCUGAGUAUCUAAAAUUAGUACACACACACACCAAAAACAAAAACAAAAGCACGGAAAAAGCCAAAAAGCCCUGCCUAUUCAGCCCUGUGUACCCUUCACUGACUAGGAAGUGACCCACUUUUCAGGUAUCAUCCAAUCAUACAAACUGGGCAUCAGUGUCGUCAGAAGCCCACACAUGUUCAUCUCAAGACUCAACAACAUAAACACGUCUAUGUUUCCAAGAAAGCUCGUUGCAAGUUGGUGACAAAUUUGGAAAAAAAAAAAAAAAAAAAAGCUCUAAAUAAAAUUACAGACAUGACUUUCACAUUUGAGCUCUCCAAAUAUAUUGUUAUGGGUUUAAGAAAUACCACACUUCUGUGUCACAAAGAGAGUUCUAAAAACCAGUAUGUUCUGAGAAGUCCAUACCUGCUACUUGGGAACUAAACAAGGCUUGUAACAACUGAAUCUCUUUAGAAGACUGUUAACACCUUGCUUAAGUGUGUAAAAAUUGAAAAUAAACAUAACUGAAGAUUUGAGAAUUUUUCAGUUAUAACACAGUUCUUAUGAAAGAUGGAAAAUAUUUCAUAUUCUCUUAUAUAUUUAUAAAAACAGCAGAUAUUUCUUCUAUUUACAGAGGUGGAAACGAAGGCAAGCAAAUGCAGUCAUUUUGUUGGAGGACUAUUCUACAUUUCCAAAGCAAUGAAGACAUGACCCCAAACUAAACUCUCCUGCAACGUAUUCUUACAAGAAAAAGGCUAAAAGCCUUAUUGCUUAACAAAAGCUAAACAAUGUGAAUUAUUUCAAUAACUGGUCCAAAAAGCUGCAGCAGGCCACUGAGUAACUUGGACAUCUGUUGCCAUGCUUGUUCAUGCUUUCCCCUGAGAUGACAUAUAUGUAUCAUCAUUAAUAGGUGUCCUUGAUUUUGAUAAGAACAAUAUUCCUGUACAUCCCCACAUCUCCUGUACAUAGCCAUGUGCUGCCAUCUUCUGAUUAUGCCCAGUGGAGUGUAAACAUUUUUUCAUGAAAAAGCAAAAUCAAUAAAAGUAAAACUCCCCACUUUUCCUGCCAGUAGUGCCCUUGGUAACAAACAGGGCAGAGACACCAAUACAGAGAUUACAAUACUCUCAGACAUAAUUCAAGCAGAACUUUAAAUGGAUCAGUGCAUGUUAUAAACUUUCUUUUUUUUGCAAGUGCCAAGCGUGCUUAUGCUACUAUUCAUUCUGAGAUAGACAGAUCAUCAAUGACCUUCUGGGUCACUGACUAGGGAGAAAGCUGACUAUAAAAAAGAGUGGGAGAAAAAUAAAGUGGGGGUUGCUUCCUUCCACCCUAGACCCCCUACUGCCUUGAAUGAAAGAAGACAGAUGGCAGCCACCUUUCCCUUUAAUUAGGAGGGGCAGCUUAGAAGGGACAGUCCUGCUCACUUGGCACUAUCUUUAACAAGACUGUUUAGAUGGCAAUGCUCUGCUCAUUCGCCCUUCUUUCAAACUGUUCUUAAUUUUUCACUUACAAACUGAAUUUCCGUAAAUUUAAUGGUGAAACAAUUACAGCUCUGACUACAACGCUAUACAUAAAUGACACACUUAAAGAUGUUUGCUGAAUUAAAAAUUCACAGAUAUUCCUAUAAAGAGGCUGGAAUGUUUCAAAUGAAAUACAGCUACCUCCAGUCCUAUCAGCACCACUUUGAGAUAAAAUAUGAAUUCCCAGGACACAGAAGCUCUAACUUAAAUUCACAACAUUCCAUACUAGACAUAGAAGUAACACCCCUGGUUUCUGCUUUCCAGUUCCACACUCCAGUCGUGCUCCCACCUUUUACCUUCAAGGUAUUGCUGUUCAAGUUGACAAAAAAAAAAAAAAAAAAAAAAAAAAAAAAUUCUACAGUAAAAAUCAGUCCUAAAUGUAGAAGGGAAGAUCAUUUAAUAACAAAUCACAAACCACUCUUCAUCUCUAUUUGCUCUGCAUUUUCAGAAACCAUAGAACUUUAUAUUACAAGUUAAUCAAUCCACAUCACAUCUCUGGAGAGAGGAUCAGCAUAAAAAAACAAACAAAAUGGAAAACAGGAGCCAUGUGUCAGAAUUAGGCUAGUGUCACAGGAUCUUCUAUGGAGGUGACGAAGCCUCUUCAUUAUUUUCUAGAGGCAAUUAAGCACAUUUUCCAUAAAUCUACAUGGCACAAAACUUUCUAACAUGAAAGUAAAGUUUAGUUGCUGUUGACAGGGUUAGGUCUCUAUACAUUGUAUCUCAUUUUUAUAUUAAAUUUGUUUUUAUCAACAUCAUUAAAUAAUUGAUAUUCUCGCAGCUCUUUUCCAUUUCCUGAUGCGUUUUUAAAUUGCAGCCUCUUGUCUGUGACACCUUCCCACCUAGUUUCUGCACAAUUCCUGCACAAGGACCCUCUGCGUUAACAUCGGUCCUGGGGAAACCCACUGUGCCUGCUUCCAAAUGGAAAUCAGGGCGGCGAACUGGGGCUGUUUUGCUAGAGGUGCUCCUGGUCAUACCAUGCAAAACGCCUUGUCUGUGUCAUAGUCAUUUACCUAAUGGCAAAGUUCUUGGACCAUUUAGAAACAAAACAAAACACUUUUUGUUUUCUCCUUGAUAAUAAAUUUCAAUCUCUUCCUAUCUCUAAACAGCAAGCCGGCACACUAGAUAUGGGAAGAGGGAAAAGAUAAAAGAAGCAAUCAGCUAUUGAAUAAACUAUAUCCUACUUCCCAAUGAAGGGGAAAAAACUUGGCAUUUGCCGGAUAUUGAGUGUCUAAUAACAUUAGCAAGAAAAAACACGCAGGAGAGACUAACAAAGAAACAAACAGAACUUACUUUGUUUCCCAGCACAGUAAGCAGGUCGGCAAUGAGAUGACGGCGAUUCCUUCCUCAAGGUCCCUGCUUUCACUUUAAAAGCUGUGUGAGUGCUUACAUCCAGGUUUGCCGUGGAACUCCAAAUGUCUGUGCUUCUAAAGAUGCCCCAAGUUCCCAGUUCAUGUCAGACACUGAAGACACACUUGUGAGGAUCGGGAAGCCCCGCGGUAGCCCCAGUCGACCUCUGGGUGCCACGUGGCACCUCCACUGUUGUGACUACACACACAAGCCCGGGACACCCACUUGUUAGCUCAGGAACCAGGCGGCCAGCAGAUAUCUGCUCAGAUGAACGUCCAGAGACUCAAUCCUCUGGCAUUCUCAGGUUCAAGGUUGGAAAACGCAUUAAGACGAGAGCCACACAGUCAGCAGAAUCUGCGCCAUUAGCUUUCUCGUACUUAAACGUCUGUCUAAAUAAGAGUCAAAGGCACAAAAUGAGAAGGAAUAUCUUACUAGGGAUUGUGACUUGCACUUGCCAUAUUUUGAAAGUACUGGUUCCUAUCUUGCUCUCUCAAACUGCAUUUAAGAAACCCUACAUCAGAAGUUAUUUUCAUUUCUUCUGUGAAAAACAGAAAAUCAAUAAAAGACUGGAAAAACAUAUGAAAUAUAAUUCUGCUUAAAAACAUAACCAUUAUUUAAUCUCAACGGGCCAAUUUAUUUUAAUCCAAAGAGAAGAAGAAAAAAAACACAUGUAUAAAUUUAAAGUUUGUUUUGAAAAAUUACUUCAUCCAUGUACUGUCCAGCUCAUAAAAACAAAACUUCUUCCAGCGAAACGGGACACUUUGACCUUGUUUACUGCAGUGUUUGGAAACCGCUGUCUCGUAACUCCUGACAUCACCGGUGGUGCAUUAGCACCUGGACUGCUGUUGGCUGCACAUGCUGAUACCCCAACUCUCUUGAAUCACCCGUGGCUGAACAAAUACUCACAGAACAGUAAGGAUAGUGGCAUUAGCAUUAAACCCACAAAACUCACAAGACCUUUUAGAAGUGUCACAUCUCUCUGUUCACUUAUACAAGAAAACAAAAGCAUUGUAUAUCUGAUACUUUUUAAGUCCCGGCAUCCAGACUGAGUACAGACAAUUCUUUCUUCUGACCCUCUCCCUGCCCAAGAAACGGGAUUCCUUUCUCACCAACCGCCAUAUUGGCAAGAAUUUCUGCCACAGAGUUUUACUAUUAAUACUAGAAGUUCCAACCUACUUUCCACCAAUAAAAAGUUCCCACAAAUCUUCCUAGGGGAGAAUUUAUUUAAGUAUAUUUUAGAGUUUCAAAGAGCACUGCAUUCUUAAGUUUCACAAAAUCAAAUUUAUUUGUUUUCUUUUAUGGAACAUGCUUUUGGUGGUGUGCCUGCCUGUUGCAUUUCUAAAGAAACAAUUUUCUCCUGUAAGCCUGACACAUUUCCCUUUCUGCAUUCCCCAGUUCUUUUUCUAAAUACACCAAAAUCAAAGCAACGGAUAGUUGCAACCACUGGAAGCAAGCCACAAUUCAAUUUGUGCAAAUAUCUCCCCAGAUUCACUUCUUAAAUAAAACUAAAUCCUGGUCCUACAAUGAUAGUGGAAUUUUACAGAGAAAUUAAAAACCCAAGUUUAAUGUGUCUGAAAUCAACUGAUAACCUUUUACUGAAACCACUUAAAAACAUCACGUCCUUAAACUAUAGUCACCAAAAAAUAUAGAACACAAAAUACAUAUUUGAGCAAUUAUAGCCCUUGUUUGUCAAAGAGGAGUAAAAAGAAAAACAUCCAGAGUUAAUACAAUUAAUUAACUCUAGCUAAAGAACUACUAAAAAGACCCUCCAAAUGCCAUGCUGUUACUACGACAACUUCAAAAUUGCUUGAGAAAAUGUGCUGGAUUGUCAGAUUCGUGAUAAAACAAGUGUCAUCCUGCCUGCUAGGAAUUACUUUCAUUUAUAUCAGGCAGCAGAAAGGCUAAAUGGCCACUUGCAAUUCUGAAAUAUUAGGUUGUUACCUUUUGAUAGAUGCUGUACUCUUCAUUCAGAUCAUGAGAAGAGUUAAAAAAUAAAUGAAUCUCUCUCAAUCAUCGGAACCCUUUUGGUUUCAUUCCUGCAACGAUACCACUCCCACCGUCUAUCUAGUUGGUACAUUAUUUUGUAUAAGGAAAGCAGCAAAGUCUGAUUCAAUCUGAAAGGGAAGGGCCAAGAAAAACCCCUAACAGUAUCUCGUUUCCAAAUACAAAUAGGUGAGCAGACACUCACUCUGAUAUUUAAGGGUUAAUAAUGACACAGAAAAAGAAAACGGCAUUUUCUCCCUUAAAAUUCCUGCUCCUAGGUAUUCAGGCUGAUUUACAUUUUACGUAAUCUGAUGGCUCAAUCAGGAAGUGAGAAUUUUAAGUGCGUGAGUUAUGGACGGGAGGAAGCAUGUGACCCAUACAUAGCAAAGAAAAUUAUGCAGCAGAUGAGCACGCUAAGAAAAAUAAACUAAGCAGUUUAAAAAUAGUGUUUUGAGGAUAUAUCGACCCAUGAAUAUACUAUGGCUUUUGAGAACUAAUAAUUCAUUUGGACGCCUUAAAAAUAAAUCCCCAGGACUGUUUUAAAAAAUAUUACAAGAUCCAAGGAAUCCACGGUGAGAAAUUAAAGUUUAAUUAUCCAAGAAACUGUUUCCCUCAAGUGCAUAUCCAUUCAUGGUUUAUGUUAAAGGCUAUUUUUCAUCAUUAUUUAAAGAUCAGGCAAUACGUAAUAUAAUCAAACAAAACACAGAUUGCAGUGAUG